Molecule: ribosomal RNA, 484 nt
Filed under: uncultured bacterium
Lineage: Bacteria
Description: partial 16S ribosomal RNA
Rfam family: Bacterial small subunit ribosomal RNA
Source: RNAcentral
AUUGAACGCUGGCGGCAGGCCUAACACAUGCAAGUCGAGCGGCUGAAGGGUGCUUGCUUCUGGAUUCAGCGGCGGACGGGUGAGUAAUGCCUAGGAAUCUGCCUGGCUGCGGGGGAUAACGUCCGGAAACGGGCGCUCAUACCGUAUUAGUCCUGAGGGCGAACGUGGGGGAUCUUCGGAUCUUCCGCUAUCACACGAGUCUAGGUCCGAUUAGCUAGUUGGGGGGGUAAAGGCCUACCAAGGCGACGAUGCGAAACUGGGCUGCGAGGCUGAUCAGUCACACUUGAACUGAAACACGGUCCAAGCUCCUUCGGGAAGCAACAGGGGGGAAAAUUGGACAAUGGGCGGAAACCUUGACCAGCCAAGCCGCGGUUGGGAAGAAAGGCUUCGGAUUUUAAAGCACUUUUAGUUGGGAAAAAAAGCAGGAAGUUAAUACCUUGCUUGUUUGACGUUACCAACAGAAUAAGCACCGGCUAACUUCGUG